RNAcentral lists this ribosomal RNA (440 nucleotides) under uncultured Pseudomonas sp. Its description in RNAcentral is "bacterial SSU rRNA". It matches the Rfam family "Bacterial small subunit ribosomal RNA", at positions 358 to 790 of the family's 1533-position model. Lineage: Bacteria; Pseudomonadati; Pseudomonadota; Gammaproteobacteria; Pseudomonadales; Pseudomonadaceae. The record is from RNAcentral.
GGAAUAUUGGACAAUGGGCGAAAGCCUGAUCCAGCCAUGCCGCGUGUGUGAAGAAGGUCUUCGGAUUGUAAAGCACUUUAAGUUGGGAGGAAGGGCCAUUACCUAAUACGUGAUGGUUUUGACGUUACCGACAGAAUAAGCACCGGCUAACUCUGUGCCAGCAGCCGCGGUAAUACAGAGGGUGCAAGCGUUAAUCGGAAUUACUGGGCGUAAAGCGCGCGUAGGUGGUUUGUUAAGUUGGAUGUGAAAUCCCCGGGCUCAACCUGGGAACUGCAUUCAAAACUGACUGACUAGAGUAUGGUAGAGGGUGGUGGAAUUUCCUGUGUAGCGGUGAAAUGCGUAGAUAUAGGAAGGAACACCAGUGGCGAAGGCGACCACCUGGACUGAUACUGACACUGAGGUGCGAAAGCGUGGGGAGCAAACAGGAUUAGAUACCCUAG